AAAAAAACUCCUCUUUGUUAAUAGUAGAGUUGUGCACAAAUAAUAUAGAAUUAUGAAAUCUUGUAGUGAGCCGCCUAAGAAGUGGAGUAGUGAGCCACCGUCAAGUAGUGAGCCUAAGUUAAGUAGUGAGCCUAAGUUAAGUAGUGAGCCAGUGUUCCGUGAGGCCUGUUGUCCUGUCCCUGGGCGAAGAUAGCCUCUUUAUUCUCUGGGGCAAUUCUGAACAAAGACGGAUUUGAAUCUUCGGAGCAGUGAGAUAUGGAAUUGAGCUUUCUGAGCUAUACGAAAUAACAACCUGUGUCCGUGUUCCCAAAGGCACCACUCUCCCGUUAAUUGAUUUCUUCGAGGACAUAAAGUAUCCUUCCUACAUUACCAAUAUGAUUUCCUUCCCUCUCGAGUUGAACUCCUUCCUACAUUACCAAUAUGAUUUCCUUCCCUCUCCUCAUAAUCAAAUGAGAAAUAUAAUACAAAUAAGAAAGAUAAUCCAAAUGAGAAAUAAGGAAAGAGACCUGAGCUCAGAAUCUGUCUUUUAUUCGGUGUGAGGUCCGGAAUCCUUCAAUGCUCUUUGACUUGACUCUAUUUCCUCUAUAGGAGAGAGAUGAUCUGACAGCGUGAGAAGCUCGAGUCGGCCACAUAAGAAAAUGGAGAUAUUCGUCUAAAGUGGCAAAGAAUAAGGAAUUGGUCAUUUCAUUGCUGCUCUCUUCCCUUAUUUCAAAGAAGUGGUCAUUGCGGCUCCUUAUUGAUUUCUCCUGAACAAGAAAUCGGCCUUUUAGAAAAUAUCCGACUUAGCAUCUUGAACAAGGCAUCUAAGAAUGGGUAUUCAUCAAACAGCGCUUUUGAGCUUUCUUCAGGAUUAGGCCCGUUCGGCUCUAGUGUGGAUUCAUGUGCAGCCAAUUCUUCUGAAAUUCCUAACUAAACUAGCUCUUCUGAAAUUCCUAACUAAACUAGCUCUUCUGAAAUUCCUAACUGAACUAGCAAGGCUUUAUUGAAGAAAUAGUCAAUUGCCUCAAACAGGCUUAUCGAGCAGAUGCAAUCCAAUGAGUGAAAUCCCCAGCCCAGCCAGUCCUUCUUUAUCCAUUCCAUAGGAAAUGUGUUUCGAUGUAUUCUAAUGUCAUAUAUGAUAUAUCAGUCUUUAUCGAAGCAGAGCAAGCAGUAUAUAAGUCUUUAUCGAAGCUUUCAUUUUUGCCCAAUUACUGUCGUCGAAACGGAUUUCCUAACACUAUAGAGAGUGAGCGAAACGAAAAAGCAAUGCACACGAGAUAAUAGCAUCUGGUGGAGAGUAGAGCAUGCCUUAUUGAUGAAUGAGCAUCUGGUGGAGAGUAGAGCAUGCCUUAUUGAUGAAUGAUAGAGGCAGGCGCCUUUUGGCAAUGGGGGCCGUUCCCGAAAGUAUUUAUUGUAGAGAAUCCCCAUCGCUUCUCCUGACUCGAGGGUGAAAACGAGAAUGGAUUGAAUCACGAGGCCUGAGACGAAAGCAUUGGGCCAUCAUAUGGAUUUUGGGAACCAUCAUAUAGCAUUGGGGGUAGUAACAAUUAUAUGGAUUUUGGGAACCAUCAUAUAGCAUUGGGGGUAGUAAUUAGAAUAUAGAUUGGAUUAACCUAACUCAGGAACUCACUGGAAUAUAGAAUAAAGGCUGUUAGCGAGGAAUAAAGGCUGUUAGCGAGGAAUUCUUCAAUAAAUAAUAAUGUUUCCUCCGUUGCUUGUUCAGCAGAACUCCGUAAGCGCAACAUUAGGUCGGCUCGCGUUAGCACAACGUCUUGUCUUGCCCCGCUGCAUGUUGAUUUGUUUUCCUUACUUCAAGCUUAAGGAAUGGAAUAUCAGCUAUGGAGUGUUUCAAUUCCAAAGAUUGAGGUUACCCAGUGGCUCGAAUAAACCCCUUGAAAAGAAGGAAUCAUCUUCUCUCUUGUUGAACUCCUAGAAUAAUGGGACAGUAAUUGUAUAUCCGAACCGAAGACGCACUACACUAUUUCAACAAAGCAGGGUGAAUAUGCUUACAAAACAAGAUAUCAAAGAAAAAAGGAAGGGAUUCGGCCUGGAAUCGGAGAAUCUUUCCAGUAACAUAGAAUAUUGGAUUUCCAGUAACAUAGAAUAUUGGAUUUCAUUAUUUAUUGAUU
This 2108-nucleotide long non-coding RNA is filed under the name Musa acuminata (dwarf banana). RNAcentral describes it as "long non-coding RNA (MACU_LNC009007)". The record is from RNAcentral. Lineage: Eukaryota; Viridiplantae; Streptophyta; Magnoliopsida; Zingiberales; Musaceae.